CAGGAAGAAAGCUUGCUUUCUUUGCUGGCGACCGGCGCACGGGUGAGUAACACGUAUCCAACCUGCCCUUUACUCGGGGAUAGCCUUUCGAAAGAAAGAUUAAUACCCGAUAGCAUAAUGAUUCCGCAUGGUUUCAUUAUUAAAGGAUUCCGGUAAAGGAUGGGGAUGCGUUCCAUUAGGUUGUUGGUGAGGUAACGGCUCACCAAGCCUUCGAUGGAUAGGGGUUCUGAGAGGAAGGUCCCCCACAUUGGAACUGAGACACGGUCCAAACUCCUACGGGAGGCAGCAGUGAGGAAUAUUGGUCAAUGGGCGCUAGCCUGAACCAGCCAAGUAGCGUGAAGGAUGAAGGCUCUAUGGGUCGUAAACUUCUUUUAUAUAAGAAUAAAGUGCAGUAUGUAUACUGUUUUGUAUGUAUUAUAUGAAUAAGGAUCGGCUAACUCCGUGCCAGCAGCCGCGGUAAUACGGAGGAUCCGAGCGUUAUCCGGAUUUAUUGGGUUUAAAGGGAGCGUAGGUGGACUGGUAAGUCAGUUGUGAAAGUUUGCGGCUCAACCGUAAAAUUGCAGUUGAUACUGUCAGUCUUGAGUACAGUAGAGGUGGGCGGAAUUCGUGGUGUAGCGGUGAAAUGCUUAGAUAUCACGAAGAACUCCGAUUGCGAAGGCAGCUCACUGGACUGCAACUGACACUGAUGCUCGAAAGUGUGGGUAUCAAACAGGAUUAGAUACCCUGGUAGUCCACACAGUAAACGAUGAAUACUCGCUGUUUGCGAUAUACAGUAAGCGGCCAAGCGAAAGCAUUAAGUAUUCCACCUGGGGAGUACGCCGGCAACGGUGAAACUCAAAGGAAUUGACGGGGGCCCGCACAAGCGGAGGAACAUGUGGUUUAAUUCGAUGAUACGCGAGGAACCUUACCCGGGCUUAAAUUGCAGUGGAAUGAUGUGGAAACAUGUCAGUGAGCAAUCACCGCUGUGAAGGUGCUGCAUGGUUGUCGUCAGCUCGUGCCGUGAGGUGUCGGCUUAAGUGCCAUAACGAGCGCAACCCUUAUCUUUAGUUACUAACAGGUUAUGCUGAGGACUCUAGAGAGACUGCCGUCGUAAGAUGUGAGGAAGGUGGGGAUGACGUCAAAUCAGCACGGCCCUUACGUCCGGGGCUACACACGUGUUACAAUGGGGGGUACAGAAGGCAGCUAGCGGGUGACCGUAUGCUAAUCCCAAAAUCCUCUCUCAGUUCGGAUCGAAGUCUGCAACCCGACUUCGUGAAGCUGGAUUCGCUAGUAAUCGCGCAUCAGCCACGGCGCGGUGAAUACGUUCCCGGGCCUUGUACACACCGCCC
RNAcentral lists this ribosomal RNA (1328 nucleotides) under Bacteroides fragilis. RNAcentral's name for it is "bacterial SSU rRNA". It matches the Rfam family "Bacterial small subunit ribosomal RNA", at positions 70 to 1395 of the family's 1533-position model. Lineage: Bacteria; Pseudomonadati; Bacteroidota; Bacteroidia; Bacteroidales; Bacteroidaceae. The record is from RNAcentral.